Molecule: ribosomal RNA, 207 nt
Filed under: uncultured bacterium
Lineage: Bacteria
Description: partial 16S ribosomal RNA
Rfam family: Bacterial small subunit ribosomal RNA
Source: RNAcentral
CGCGUAGGCGGUUUGUUAAGUCGGAUGUGAAAGCCCUGGGCUCAACCUGGGAACUGCACCCGAUACUGGCCGACUAGAGUACGAGAGAGGGAGGUAGAAUUCCACGUGUAGCGGUGAAAUGCGUAGAUAUGUGGAGGAAUACCGGUGGCGAAGGCGGCCUCCUGGCUCGAUACUGACGCUGAGGUGCGAAAGCGUGGGGAGCAAACA